RNAcentral lists this transfer RNA (83 nucleotides) under Caudoviricetes sp. Its description in RNAcentral is "tRNA-Leu". It matches the Rfam family "tRNA". From Rfam's summary of the family: Transfer RNA (tRNA) molecules are approximately 80 nucleotides in length. Their secondary structure includes four short double-helical elements and three loops (D, anti-codon, and T loops). Lineage: Duplodnaviria; Heunggongvirae; Uroviricota; Caudoviricetes. The record is from RNAcentral.
GGGCGUAUGGCGAAAUUGGCAAACGCGCAGGAUUUAGACUCCUGUGCCGCAAGGCUUCUUGGGUUCGAGUCCCAGUAUGCCCA